GUGGCUUCUGGAGUCUUCUAGAUGAUAGAAAAUUGCACGGCACGUUAAUAUAUCUAUGUAAUCCCGACGUGUGGGCCUUUCUUCCAUAUUUCCUGAUAACCCCCUGCAGAAAUAGACAAACACCAAAACUCGUUGAAUUCUGUCAGAUAAAACCCUAAGUCUAGGUGUUGGUUGUAUUUGGAUCCUUUUCUUUAUUUAUUUGAUGAUUAUAUUUGAUACUUAAGGAC
RNAcentral lists this long non-coding RNA (227 nucleotides) under Sorghum bicolor (sorghum). Its description in RNAcentral is "long non-coding RNA (SBIC_LNC017997)". Lineage: Eukaryota; Viridiplantae; Streptophyta; Magnoliopsida; Poales; Poaceae. The record is from RNAcentral.